Molecule: ribosomal RNA, 129 nt
Filed under: Pseudogymnoascus sp. VKM F-4519 (FW-2642)
Lineage: Eukaryota; Fungi; Ascomycota; Leotiomycetes; Thelebolales; Thelebolaceae
Source: RNAcentral
AGAUACAACCAUAGACUUAAGAGAACUGGGCAUCCCAUCCGCUCUGCCAUACAUAAAAACUUGAGAUCGGUGGAUUAGUAGUUGGGAGUUGGGUGGGUGGCCACCAGCGAAUACCCACUGUUGUAUGUU